GAUCCCAUCAGAACUCCGCAGUUAAGCGUGCUUGGGCGAGAGUAGUACUAGGAUGGGUGACCCCCUGGGAAGUCCUCGUGAUGCACCCU
Molecule: ribosomal RNA, 89 nt
Filed under: Agave tequilana
Lineage: Eukaryota; Viridiplantae; Streptophyta; Magnoliopsida; Asparagales; Asparagaceae
Source: RNAcentral